CACACAAGGCAAGAAACAACUGCACAUUGAUUUUACUUUAAAUAUGCUAGAUAUGAUUACACAGAUCCUGUAUCACUGUGGUGUUAAUAUACCACUUUGCCUGUGAUUUUUCUUGUAUUUAAAUGGCAUCAAAAUAGAUCAAAUACACACUCUAGGCUAGAUUUUUGGAAGUCUUGCUGCAGAUAGUUUGCAGACACAGUUUUACAGCAGACAAAGAUAUACGAGAUGAAUGAUGCACAUCUGGUGUCCACAAGUGUCAGUGAAGACAAACGAGAGGCUCCUAAACAAUCUGACCACAAUAUAUAUACCACAUCCAUACUCCAUACAACACUGAGUCAGACCAUCAAUCUUCAGUGUCAAAACACAACACCCCAGCUUAAAACAUCAUCCAUCACUGUCUGCUUAAUGUAACUAGCUGGACUUAGCACAACAUUCAGCUGAAAUUCAUUUUAAAUCCUAAUGUGCUUCUUCAUAGGGUUCUUUAGCAUAAAAUCAAGAAAAAACUUGAAAGUUGAACCACUACAAGAGCUCAUCUACUCUUCCAUUACACCUGUUCACACUGGUCCACAGUACUGUUUCCAGUCUCAAAGGGGAAACCAGCCUAAUCAACACAAAAAUGUCAAACAUUCCUAAUCUGCAGAGAUUGACAGGGAAACCUUUAGGGUGGAUGCUCUGGGGCAUAGGGGUCACUCCACUGAGUAGUAAUUAGACUCUGUGAAUGAGGAACUUCCUGUGCUGGCUGAGGCAAGGUUACAAGGUCCAGAGGAAAGUGUCAGAGGGGUCAUAGCUUCCUCUCUGUCAUUUAAACUUCUUAAUGGGCUUGGUAGAGGUCCCUUCCUAUUGCUUAAUGACUGUGACCUGAGAAGUUGGAGAUGUUUUUCUCUGGCACAUACAAAUACAUAGCUAGUGCUGGCCAGAAAAAAUAGUUUGCAUGUGACCAACCCCUAAAGACUUAAUAUAUAUCGUUCUAACAUGCCUUUUCAGAAUAAGUGGUCCUGUAUUUUCCAUAAAUUCUAGUUGCAAGCUCUGACUGAGGCCAAUCCCCAAUAGUUAUGCCAGAUGUCUGUAUCCUGAUACAAAUUCAUUGCAAUGCACAUAAAAGUGGGUUAACUGAUAUCUCUUUAGCAACAUGCACACAUGCAGCUUUGGCUCAUGGAGUCCGUGGGAGAUUUUGUCCACUUGUUUCUGUCAACAAUUCACACUGUGAGAACAUUUUUUGAUGUUAGCCUGGACAGAGGGAGGCAGAAAUAACAGGUACUACGACACAGCAAAUAAAUAACCUAAGGUAUUAUAAUAUAAUAACCUGUAAGAGCCUGGAGUCAUUGUAACGAGAUGCAGGCUAAAAUGAGUGUUGGUAAUGCCUGUGGCUUUAGGAUUAUCUACAGCUGCAGUCAUUUGAAUCCAUCUCCAUAUUUUGCAUUUUGCUGCAUCAUGCCUGACCCUUACCCUGGGAAAGACGAUACAACGGUCUGUUUGGCUGGUCCACUACGUGUUAAGCUGUGCCAAAGUCUCUCCUACCAUGUGGCAUGUUUAUUUGAUCUGCAGUUCACGCUAGUGGAGUUUAAAGCUCAGGUUUUCCUAAAUUACAUUUAAACAAACCAACUUCUAGAUAUUUUUCUUCAAUAUAUACAUCAAUGUGCAUAAACCAUGAACUAUUACUUAAUCUUCCACCAUGCAGAUUCAAGUCUGAUCUUCCCUGGGAGUCAACAUGUGAGUGUUAUUUCACUGGAUGGUGCCAAAGACGCAAGUCAGCUUCCUCUCGGGCCUCUUUCCAUGACAGUGUCAUAUCAGGCAUGAGGGGUCAAAAUCAAAGUGCUAAAGCUCUUAUAUCAUAUUUCUCAGCCAACUUGCUAACUAAUUUAUAAAAUGCAUUAAACAAGCAUAUAUAUCUUACAUUUGACAGUUUGUUUUGAGAUGGGUGCUGCAUGGAAAUAAGGUGUCAUACAUCCAUUAAUAGAAGUGCUUAAGAUGGGACGUAACUAAUAUGACAAAGAUCAUAUAUUGUCACCAGCUGACCCUAUCAAAUCACACUUUUAGAGAAAAAUGGUGAGGUGCCCUAUGCAAAAAAAUCUUUUGUAUCUCAACUUCUCCUACAUUGAAAUGAGGAGGAAAAUGCACACUGUGGAGGUUUGAGGUCAGCAUGAGAAAUACUACAUUCAAACCAUAAGGUGUGACUUGUGGAAGCAACCAGGGCCAGAAGUCCCGCAGAGGGGCUCCAAAUAAUGUUAUUACUAGAAAUUGUGGCAGGGGGCAUGUAAUGUUACAAAUGGGUUUCAGUUUUUUUAAAAGAAACACAAAAAGUUUACGUUAACUGCAAGAAAAUAUGGUAAACAAAAUAGCAAAGACAGAAUCAACAAGUAUGACACAGAGAGGGGAAGGGGGGAUGUAGGAAUUUAUAUGUGGAGAAACAACAUGAUGUCCCUACUGAGAAAUGCCUCUGGCCUGAACUCAUUCCUCAUGGUGGUGGAGAAAUGCACGCAUACACACUCACUCUUGCUGUCUGUAACAUAGACAUAGACACACACACACACACACACACACACACACACACUUCUCCUGGCCUAAGCUACGUCCUGUAUCAGAUCUGUUCUGCUCUAACAUCCUGCUACAAUAACAACAACCCUCCCAGAGGACGGCCUCAGUCCAGCUGCUACUGUCUGUUUGCUUUUCCAUCCCUCCAUCGAGCGUGGGGCUAAAAAUAGGAGCGACUUCUCCCCGAUUCAAUCGCUUGCCAGUCGGGCAGGCAGCAGAGACAUGGGAGUCAGAGCAGUCAGACGGUCCGUGCAGUGCAGUGCAGUGCGUGGUGCAGAGGACAGAGGCUUCAUGGUAUUCGGCCUGGAGGAGCAUUUGAUCCAGGGCCAAAGGGUUACAUUCAACUGCGGGAUGGAGAGCUUGUUUCCUGUGAUGCAACCCCCAAACUCACACAUACACAUGCACAUAUAUAUACACAUAUGCACACACAUGCACGCACACACACACACGAGCACUUCUUCCUCCUCUCUACUACUCCCUCUUUCCUCACUCUCAGCCUGCUUAUCUUAAAAUUCACCAUGGUGAGGAAAUUUGACUUUUUGGGCUUUUGACUGUCACUGUCAGUAAAACCGCUGGCUCUGAGUGACACGGCAAUCUGGGAAUAAAGACUCUUUAUACUGUAGUUACCAAAUAAGACAGACAGACUGAUCAUGAGGAAUUGUAGACAAAGGAUUGUAUAAAAUGAAGAUAAAAUGAAGCUAUAUAAACUUCAUUGUACACUAAAGUUCCUUAUAAAACACUAAAAAAAGAUUUCCUUUCAUGAGUAUGUAUUCCUUCAAAACACAAACAAACAUUGAUUCUUUUGCUUAAAAAUACCUGGAAACCCACUUCAAGAGUUAUCUACAUCUAAAGCUGAACUGACAAGUCAACUGAAAAAUGAUUUUUUUUUUUUUUUUUUUUUAUCUGUUUCAGUAAAUUUUCAAGCAAAAAUACCAAACAUUCCUUAGUUUCAGCUUCUCAGUUUUGAAGAUUUGCUUCAUUUUUUUGUCACAAGUGAAAGUGAAUCAAUCAUUUUUGGUAUUUGGACUCCCAGCUUGAGAAAACCAGCCAUGUGAAGACAUCUAUAUGAGCUUUAGGGAAUUUGAAUUUGGAUUCCUUCCUCAUUUCUGAUAUUUUAUAGACUCAACACUUAACUGAUUUAUCUAGAAACUGAAAAUCUGGAUCGUCAAUGUGCCUGGAUGAAAUUUUCAACAUUGAGAAACUUGCAGCAGCUUUGCUUGCGAACCAUCACAGCAGAGAAACAGCCAAACAUAAAAAUGAAAGGCAUAAAAAUGAAAAGUAGUUGUUUUAACAAAACUUCCCCAGGCCACCCAACUGCAGUUAACUCCCUCACUCCUUCUCUGCUUCUGUGAUGUCUAUUCUGUCUUUAACCACAGCAGCAUAAACCCCCUGCCCUCGCCCUUCUCCUCCCUAUCCUUCACUCCUUUAUUAAUCCCCUCUCCCCUCCCUCCCCUGGGUUUGGCCAACCCAUUGCAUUUUCUUCUUUAUUUGGUGCUGCCUUUUAUUUCCUGCCUCUAAUCCUCCAAAAAUGUUAUCUCUCUCCCACUCUGCUGACUAUAAACAAACCCUUACCAGCUGCUUUUCAGACCCUUAGAAGUAGCAAGCCCUCUCUCACACUGCCUCUCGCCAGUCACUGUUCAGCUUUUGGUUUUCUAAUUUCACAGCCUUCUGCGUUCUCUGCUCAUUGUUUUUCUUUGUUCUUUAAUCAUUAAUAAAUCUAUUUAGUAAUUUAACUUGGCCUUUUGCUUUUCACUUUCACGUUUUUCUGCUCCUCUGCUUUUAAUUAGGAAGGAAGGGAGGUGAGGAGACGGUGGAGUCAUAGAGAGAAAGGAAAGAGAAAACAACAGCUAAAUGGGAGUUGUUGUCAUAAAGCAUCUGGCUUUGAUUAAAGACAGGACAGCAGACAUUUCUGAGGAUGUCUGUGUAGAUAUGGUUUUGUGUACUAUGGCAUUUGUUUACGAGUUUGUUGGUGUGUUUGAUUGUGUCUACGUGCCUCCAUUCACAAGAAGACUAGCAGUGGUUUUUUUUUUUUUAGUUAUGUGGUUUACUAUAUAGUAAGCUGACCAAGAAGCAUUCAAGAGCUUAGCUGUGUAUUACGAUUUUAGGGGGGUAUUUCUCAGGGCCAUUUUUCUGUCAACAGCUCAUAAGCAAUUUACUUUGAUCUUGUAUAUAUUUUAUUAGUGUCUAAAUGAUUUACAAAAUAUCAUUCCAAACAUGACUCGUUCAUAGUCCAGACUAAUUUUGGUUGGAAAAAAAACCCUGGUAAAUAUCCUCGUCAGGUGACAAAACAUAUUAGCAAUGUGCAUCAACAUUACAGUAUGUCUCACUGCAUAGAUAACCAAUCUGAUGCAUGUGAAUGACAAAUAAUAUGAAACCAAAUAAAUCCCCUAAUGUCAGAUAAAACAAAUCAUGAGAUCAUCGUUCUAGAACUGGAGUUAGAUUAUCAGAGCAGAGCAGCACGUCCUCACCACACAGUUGUUGCACACCUGACAGGCUUACUGACAGCUACGAAACUAAAACAAUCAAAAACAAAAAAUCCUGCAAAAGUGUCAAUCACUUGUUCUCACUUAAUGAACAAAGUUUUGAGCCUUGAACCUUCGUCAGUAGAAAUUCAUUAUAAAAAUAUUUUUCAUUCAAAUUAAUUUCAGUUUUACCUGAUGAAAACCUUGUUAAUAAAAAGAAUGCAAGUGCCUGACAGUGGGAUUCUUUUGCUUCUUUCAUUGUAUUGUACAAUAAAAUCAAGCUUCUAAAUCAAGCCUUGAAACUUAUCGAUACCAGAGGAAAGACUGCUGUCGCAUAUACUGUUACUAUGCUCUAACACUUAACACAUGUUGCGGUGCAAGGUCUCAACAGAGCCGUUUAUUUUUCUUUCAUUACCAUUGUAUGAGGAAUAGCUCAGGGAACUGUCUGGCCCACUGUCCAUAAUUUAAGUUUCAGUGUGAAUUCCCUCUAAACUCGUUUAGACUUCAUCGGUUGCCACUCAGUCACUCAGACACAAAGGUGACGUCAUGAAUCUGGCUCCAAAUCAUCAAGCACAUACGAUGUGACAGGACAGGAUGGAAAAAAAGCAGAGACCCUUUCCUCCUCUCUUUUCCCCUCUGAAACCACAUAUGCGUGCGCACACGCACACACACAAACACUUAGUUUGGUAACACAACUCCCUGAAGUGAGUUACACCAUUAAUGGCAUAAAAAAUCCCUGAAGAGAAUGCCUUUGUAACUAUAAGUUGGCUAACGUGCUUUGAGAGGGAAUGGGUCGAGUUGAAAACUUGAAAAAUAGGAAAAUGAUGUUUACUUAAGUUUAGGAACAGUUAUGUAACUCACAUGACUAUGAAACAGAUGACAUAAAUAGCACACAUUCCUUAAAAUCAGCACUUGGACAAGGAGCCGGUAACUGAUUCUUUAACUAAUUUAUUGCUGAAUUCCAAAUCUAAACAUGUGAGUCAAAAUAGGCCUUUGCCAUUCUGAGCUGCACAGUCAGUAAUGAAGCUGGACAAAGUAACACUUUAAAUUCACUCCAGACAGACAUCAUGGUCAGGAAAAAAGGAGGACACGUGGUGGUGACAGUAGAGCGUACUGUAUAAUUAGUGAAGCUGAAAGUGUAUCAGUUCAUUGGUUACUGUACAGUGUAUGUAGAGCAACAGAUGUUAUAUUGAUUCUUGGUAGUUUUAAAAUCAUUGCAAGGAAUGUGUCACAGACCCAUCAGCUGCCUCCUGACUAAGUAGAUUAGACCAAUACGAUUAAUGGUCAGUAAGUCAACCUGCAGCUCUGCUGAGAUACCAUUAGGUGGCACCAAAUCUUACUAAAGAGACUACUGAGUGAUCUAACUCACUAAUGUGAUUCAAGUUUAGUUGACAAUAUUGCACUUCAUGGUCACACCAAGAUAAUGUGGUAUACACAUUAUUAGGUAUUAGGCAAUAGGUAGAUUACUUCUGAUGACUGCAAAGACCAGCCUCUGUCUUUCAAAAGUCUGCAAUGAAUGCAUUCAGUCACUGUGAUGCCCUGUCUCUUAGGUGUGUAGGGUGAGUUCUGCUUCCUAGAAUCCUUUUCUUUAACAUCUGUUGUCAUCAGAUAGAAAACAGAAACCAAACUGUGUACAUUUUGAACUGUUUGGUUACUCAAAUGAGUCACUUAGAGACAUCUGCACCCAGACAGGCAGACCUAGAUAUAAUUAUGAUUUAACAGAGACAUGAAAACCCAUUUUUCUUGUGUAAAUGUCAUAUUCCAAAUAUGAUUCGAACCAGAUUCAAACUGGAUUAUUAAUAUGUGUGUAAAUGUACUCACUGCUCAUGUCCCUAGCUGAGUUUUUGAUGUGGACCUCAGUUCAUAGGAAUCUAGACAGAGCUACAUUACUUUUGCCCUGUUGAUUGUUAAAUAUGUUCAUAUUCAGUUUUCAGUGGUUUGUUUCUCGUGGACAUUGAAAUGUGGGUAAACAAAACCCUUAUACUGCACUGUGCUUGAAUCCUCACAUACACACUGAAGCAGCUACUGUAGGCUGGUGUAGCUGCUCCUAUCUGGCCCUCAUCUCCCUCUCUCUUUCUUUCCAUCUCCCUCUCGUGCACACACACACACACAUAUACACACCCGCACACACACACGCUAGCAUGACUCACUAGCUGCAGAACUGGAGUAUGCAUGCUAAUACUGUAAAGCUCAAGUUAAAUGUCUGACUGUGUAGAUUGUAUUAUCAUGAAUUGACAUCAAAUUAGUGGCGUGCUGGCUAAUGAGAUUAUGAAGAACAAAGCUCUGUGUGAGGUCUGCAUUAUGUCUGAAUAAUACACACACAGACACACAUUAAGCUUGAUUCUGUAAUAUGAUGCUCACUGUACACAGACACAGGCAUGCAGAGGCAUGCACUCACAUCGGCUGGAUUCAGUGACGUACAGUGUUGGGAAUUAAGAUAGCUCAGUGGAUACGGGUGGACACGUUGCCAGUGCAUUUCUAAAAUAAGUCGCAACCUUUUGGUGGCAAUACAUUAAUCUGUGGUUUGGUGUUUGAUGCCAGAAACUGGCAGAGCAGAGAGAAGGAGUAGUAGAACAAACAUGAUUAAUCCCUAUUACAACUCUGCAAGCAAAACAUCUAUACACACACACGCACAGACGAUGCCUGUGACGGAGGUCUGCAUGCACAGACAGACAGAGAUGCGUCAUUCGUGAUCUCACAGAUAGUAACCCUCUGCCAAAGUUGGGCUUUUAUGCUCUCCUUAAAUCCCUUCACCAUCCACAGCACCUCAUCAUUCACAGAAAAAGAAGAGGAGAGGCGUUAUGUGGUGGUGGGCGUCAACGUGGAGAAGAACUGACUGUGGGAAUGAAAGGAGCUCUGGAUACAGACAGGCUCCUUCCAGGCCAACACAGAGCAUGUGUGUUGUCUUUUGUCAACAAAGGUUGUUUUGGUAACUUGGCUUAAUAUGCCUAAUGCCAGACAAGCAAAACAACCCCCACCAACAAUUGCCAACGUCGCCUCCACCCUGGAAAUACACCCAUCCUAAGCUAUCCCUCCUCUGAUCCCCUAAAGCUGGUUAAAGAGGGGAAAGGAGGGUGUUAGUGAGAAAUGUCGGUCAAAUGUCAUGACUGACCUCAUGUGCUGGCUCAGACCAAAAAUCUGGGCCAGCAUAUGCUACAAUAAGAUAAAUGGAGAAUAUAUAUAAUUCCCACUGUUUGGAAAAGAUAUAGCAGAUGCUCAUCAGUACUCCUGGACUAAACCAAUGCAGCAUUUUCAGAGAGGGGUAAUGGUUGAACUACAGUAGCAAGACAAGCUCACUAAUCCCCUCAUGCUCCAUAGGGGAAAAGCACAGCUGACAGAGAUUACAUUUAAGAAUAAAAUGAUCUCAUAAAACAAUUUGUAUAUAUAUUUAAAGGCAGUUUGUCUCCAGAACAAGACUGACUGUUCCCUCUCUCUUUCUUAUUGCCUUGGUCCAGCUACCCUUUCAUCUCUUUCUCUCUGAAUGUACAUGAACAUGCAGUGUGUUAGGGUUGUGUGUGUCAAGACUAGAAAACCGCUGUAUUCAGCAUAAAGCUGCAGCUGUAGAAAGAGACUGAUCUGAUUCAGCCGCCAGCAACCAGGACAGCUGCAGCGUCCACCGGCUUAACUCUGCUGAACUAGCACACAGACCCUAAACACACAGAGUCCACAUUCAUGACAUUAAAACUGUUGCACAGAUCAACACAUUCAUCCAGCCGUCGUAUUUUCUAUACCCACUUACCCCGAGCAGGGUCACAGAGGACUGGAGUCUUAUGGCAGUACACACUGGGUUAGAGCAGAACUGGUUGGUUUUUUUUUUGUUGUUGUUGUUAUUUUUUCUAUUAGUACUACAUACAGAGUUUUGAAUGGGACAUGUUACAGUGUAAAAUCAACCUGUGAGUGCUCUAUAGUGGACAAACUAUAAUGGUAUUUCUGAAUGAUCUCAAACCUAGUUUGACAUUUCUGCAAGUACAGAAACUUUGCAACCAAAGUUAGUUGCACUGUCUUGAUACUUUUAGCCAAUAGAUAGCCAACAGAUAUAUCUGCAAUGUUAAUAUUGGGCAAAAUAUUGCCCUGGCCAAUUUUCCAUGACUCUGCACGUACUUCCACAUAUUGAUAAUAUCAACAAAGUUAAGCAAAAAGGUAAAAGACAGGCUUCACUGGUAUUCGGCGUGUACUGAAGUAUACAGUUUAAAUCCAGCCAGGAACCUUUUUGGUCUGUCAUCCUUUCACUUUGCCACAUUUCCUGUCUGCAUCCCUACAGUAUGCUACCAAAUAAUGAAAAGGAAAAAACGGCAUAGAGGCAAUGACAUUGCUGGCGUCAUCCAAGUCAAAAGAAAGGCUAGGCCUGUCAGUACAUCACAGCAUUUACAAAAGGAUGUGGGGGUUUGCGGAAGAGGUGGGAGGGUAUAAAAUGUCAUACUUCGCCUGUCACCGUGCUCAUUCGGCAGCACUUCAUCGAUGACCUCAUGGUUCUGAAUUCAACAACCCAGUAACACACAGGGGCUGGCCUUGUGUGUGUGUGAGAAGUGUUGUGUAUGGUGUGCAUGGGUUUUUUGGUGGUUGAGGAGGGUGCUGGUGACAUAUGAGUGUAGAGGAUCUGGUUCUGUGUGACUGAUGAAUGAGCACUCAGAUCAAUGAAAUUUUUUUCAUGACAGAUAUUUGACUUGCAGUACUCCGACUGAAGCAGUAAAAGCACAGAUGUGACAACGGCUCUGUUCUGUCUAAGUGUCCUUGUAAGCCAUGACAGUGUGAGAGUGAGCAAAUGCACAACACCAGGAUCCUGAAACUGAAGCAGCUAAAUGUAAUUCAGCCAUAUUACUUUUAAUAUUUACCCCUGCAGCAUUCCUACUGUGACAAGUCAAAAUGUCUGUUGUGAAAAAGAUG
Molecule: long non-coding RNA, 9878 nt
Organism: Lates calcarifer (barramundi perch)
Lineage: Eukaryota; Metazoa; Chordata; Actinopteri; Centropomidae
Exons: 3
Source: RefSeq, a predicted model, not a curated record